AGCUCAGGCGAUGCUGGAUUUCGGCAUUAACGUCAACCCUUGUGGAAAGACCGCUGCCCAGGUUCAGGAUAAGUGAUUGACAUUUUCCAGCGUUACAUACACCGUUAAGUUGGAUUUGUGGCACUGCAGAGGAUAGCCAUCAUGGCUAGUAGUCAUCAUUAGUUUUAUCUUCCAUGCUUGGUUUUCCAACUUGCGCAGGCCUCGGACACCAGUGUCUGUUUCCCUGCUGUUUUCCACUUGCAGAUUAAAUAAAUGGAUGUUCUUAAACGGCUGCCCUUUCCACACCGUGUCACCGACCCUUUCUGAAAGCCAUUUAACCAAGCGGCUCCAGGGCGGCUUCUGCGCUUCGGCCGUGUCAGAGGAGUUCAAACGCUGCGGACAAAUCGUCAGCGCAACCAUAGGACAAGAGAGGGCAUUUUCGACCAGGCCUGGACAAUACAAGCUCUGACAAGGAUGGUGCUGGGGAGGAGUGCGCAGCUGAGGUAUCAGGGCUCAUUUGCCGGAGAGUCGCUCAGCACCGUCAAGACCACCCCACGGCAUGCCCACGGCCGUUCUGGCAACGCAGAAGCUCCCCCUUCCAGAGGAGAAAGUCACUUUGGGAAAGAGAUGACAGCCUCGCUGCCACACAUGGCGUUUCGUCUCUUGGCGACCUCUCUCGUCAGCUCAGCUCAACUUAAAUGCAUGCUGGGUUUCUGUGGUGAGCGCAUGCAUCUUAAAAUGCGCAAUUUGCUCGCUCUGGGUUCUGAACUCUGCCGAAUUGCACUCUUUCCCUCACCAAAUCUUGCUAUAAAGAUGGGAAAGAAGAGGCGCCUCUGUUUCCCUGAGGAACGGAAUAGCAUAAUAGCAGAAAGCCUUUUUGAACCAAAGCAGCUACUGCAGCAGCAAUUCUUCCAAUAAGUGAACUCACUGUCGCUUCAAAGAGGAAAGGUUUGGGGAGGGUCCCCCCACCACCACUUUUUGCUUCAUCUCUUCAUCCCAAGCAGUAUGACAUGGUACAAAUCACUUCUGGGAAGACAAGGCAUGCUCGGGUGGGCUUGUGGAUGGACACCCCUCAUGUGAAGGUGCCAUUUUGCAUGAACCAGCACCGAAGGCUGAGUGAGUAUGAUUGUCUACAUGACCAUGAAUAACUUUCCUGAUUGUAAGAUGCUUUGCGCAGCGGGGGAAAGCAUGGACAGAAAUUAAAUGAAGCUAAAACUCAGCUUCCAUCCUAGCUUUGAUCAGUUUUAAAUGUUCACACAGAAUUAAAAACACAUGAUCUUUCUCCCUUUUCCCUUCCCCCCACCCUGCCGCCACACUCUGCUUUCCACGAUAAUUUCCCUUAAAAGACAAAACUCUCAUACUCUCAGCCAACCUGAUACAACUGCUCCCCCUACUGGCGAAUGAUAGCAUAGCAUCGGGCACACAGAACUUUGCUGCACGGAAAGUGCCUUAAGCACAUUACCCCUGCUGCAAGCUACAUGUAAAGAUUGCCAACUGGCUUCCCACCCAGUGCUUCAGGGAAGGGCCAUAGCUCAGUGCUCAUGCAAAAGACCCCAGGUUCAAUCCCCAGCCCAGCAUCUCCAGGUAGGGGUGGGAG
Molecule: non-coding RNA, 1576 nt
Organism: Podarcis muralis (Common wall lizard)
Lineage: Eukaryota; Metazoa; Chordata; Lepidosauria; Squamata; Lacertidae
Source: RefSeq, a predicted model, not a curated record